RNAcentral lists this ribosomal RNA (724 nucleotides) under uncultured Pseudomonadota bacterium. RNAcentral's name for it is "bacterial SSU rRNA". It matches the Rfam family "Bacterial small subunit ribosomal RNA", at positions 67 to 782 of the family's 1533-position model. The record is from RNAcentral. Lineage: Bacteria; Pseudomonadati; Pseudomonadota.
CAGCAUGAUGUGUAGCAAUACACGUUGAUGGCGAGUGGCGAACGGGUGAGUAAUAUAUCGGAACAUGUCCUGUAGCGGGGGAUAACCUAUCGAAAGAUGGACUGAUACCGCAUACGCUCUACGGAGGAAAGCGGGGGUCGCAAGACCUCGCACUAUAGGAGUGGCCGAUAUCGGAUUAGCUAGUUGGCGGGGUAAAAGCCCACCAAGGCGACGAUCCGUAGCUGGUCUGAGAGGAUGAUCAGCCACACUGGAACUGAGACACGGUCCAGACUCCUACGGGAGGCAGCAGUGGGGAAUUUUGGACAAUGGGCGCAAGCCUGAUCCAGCCAUGCCGCGUGAGUGAAGAAGGCCUUCGGGUUGUAAAGCUCUUUCGGCAGGAACGAAAUGGUUCGUGCUAAUACCACGGAUUGAUGACGGUACCUGAAGAAGAAGCACCGGCUAACUACGUGCCAGCAGCCGCGGUAAUACGUAGGGUGCAGGCGUUAAUCGGAAUUACUGGGCGUAAAGCGUGCGCAGGCGGUUUCUUAAGUCAGAUGUGAAAGCCCCGGGCUUAACCUGGGAACUGCGUUUGAAACUGGGAGACUUGAGUGUGGCAGAGGGGGGUGGAAUUCCACGUGUAGCAGUGAAAUGCGUAGAUAUGUGGAGGAACACCGAUGGCGAAGGCAGCCCCCUGGGUUAACACUGACGCUCAUGCACGAAAGCGUGGGGAGCAAACAGGAUUAGA